AAUAAGUUACCUAUUAUGUGGUGACUUGAGUUAAACUAAUAAAUUGUUUUUUGUUCUUUAGGGCUAUUUAGAUCAAGAAGGUAAUCCUAUGGGGUUUGCUGGACUUGUGUCACAUUUGCAUUAUCAUGAACCUUCUAAUCUUGUUUUUGUCAGUUUUCUUGUAAAUGGCCUCUUCCAUGAUCUCUGUCAGCCAACCAGGAAAGGCUCAAAACAUUUUUCUCAAGACGUUAUGGAAAAGCUAGUAUUAGUAUUGGCACAUCUCUUUGGAAGAAGAUAUUUUCCACCAAAGUUCCAAGAUGCACACUUCGAGUUUUAUCAAUCAAAGGUAAACUGUGUGAUUCUGAUAAAAUUUAGUAAUGUAAAAUCACUAAAUAGAUCUUACCUAAAAUGACUUAGCAGCUGUAGAAUUUUAAUUCAAAGGGCAGUUCAUUUGUUUUCUAGAAUAAUUUGUUCUUUUUGUAAUCAGUGUGAUAUUUAAUCUGUAAUUGAUGUCUCCCUCUGUAAAUCUACCAAAAAGUUAAAGUCUUUGUGAAAAAAACAGGAUCAA
This 547-nucleotide small RNA is filed under the name Pongo abelii (Sumatran orangutan). RNAcentral describes it as "retained intron". The record is from RNAcentral. Lineage: Eukaryota; Metazoa; Chordata; Mammalia; Primates; Hominidae.